Cheilinus undulatus (humphead wrasse) is the source of this 810-nucleotide long non-coding RNA. RefSeq lists it as uncharacterized. The record is from RefSeq and is a predicted model, not a curated record. The transcript has 3 exons. NCBI's taxonomy places the organism in Eukaryota, Metazoa, Chordata, Actinopteri, Labriformes, Labridae.
UUGUCUUCCCUUGUAAAUAAAUCCCACAUUUACCGACUUCUGCCCAGCAUGGAGAAGCUUCGGCUGAGGAAGAGGAGUGAGACUAACGGCAGCUGACAGGGGUCAGUCUGUGACCGCGCUGCUGCUGUUAACGACGGGUCUAUAAGUUGGCGACAGAUCUAUUCUGGACCGAGAACCGAGAGACAGACACCCUGUACCAGUGCAUGUGAGAGGAAGGCUGAGCACAUGGCCCAGCCAAUGAGUUCAAAGGUUUGACUGUACCUCCUCCAAACGGCGCCCAGAUGACCCGCCGUAUAGCCUUGACCCAGUCGUCCAUGUCUGUCUGGGAGUUUGCCAUGAGCAGGAAGGAUUCAUGGCUGAUUGGUGCACGGUCCUUGUCUCCUGUUCCACCUAGAAGGACAAACAAGGGACAAAGGUCAGCCCUGUGAUUGACUGACAGAGGGGGCAGUCCAGGGUGUGCCUCUCCUUUCUCCCGAUGACAGCUGGGAUUGGCUUCAAACCCAGUGACCCCAAACAAGAUAAGUGGGAUAGACAGAUGGAUGGAUAACAACACUUAAAUGGUGACAGUCUACACUAAAUAGAAGUAUGGAAGUUGUUUCAAGACACCAGGAGCAUGAGAUCCUUUCAAGGCCACACAAUGGUAUUACAGAGUUGCAUUUUCAAACUACAAAUUUAUCAAGGUACACUGUCAAAAUCUGAGUGAGUUCCCGGUGUUUUUUGGAGCAAUAUGAAGUCAACCAAGUGUAAGAUAAUGUAGGGUGGAGAACUAAGAACAAGUAUAUAAUAUGUUUAUAAAAAUUAUUUAAUAAA